UCUCCGUAGGUGAACCUGCGGAGGGAUCAUUUUGAUUUUUAUUUAAAUAAUAUUUUUUUAUGUGGUUAAAAAAUUAAUAAAUUAAAUUUGAAAUAUUAAUUUAAUUUAUUUUUUUUAUUUUAUCUAAUUUUAUAUAUAUUUUUAAUAAUCAAUUAUUAUAAAAACUUAAAUAAAUAACUAAUAUAUAACUUUUAACAAUGGAUCUCUUGGCUCUC
This 215-nucleotide unclassified non-coding RNA is filed under the name plant metagenome. RNAcentral describes it as "partial contains small subunit ribosomal RNA, internal transcribed spacer 1, and 5.8S ribosomal RNA". The record is from RNAcentral.